GAUGAACGCUGGCGGCGUGCCUAAUACAUGCAAGUCGAGCGAACAGACGAGGAGCUUGCUCCUUCGACGUUAGCGGCGGACGGGUGAGUAACACGUAGGUAACCUACCUAUAAGACUGGGAUAACUUCGGGAAACCGGAGCUAAUACCGGAUAAUAUUUCGAACCGCAUGGUUCGAUAGUGAAAGAUGGCUUUGCUAUCACUUAUAGAUGGACCUGCGCCGUAUUAGCUAGUUGGUAAGGUAACGGCUUACCAAGGCAACGAUACGUAGCCGACCUGAGAAGGUGAUCGGCCACACUGGAACUGAGACACGGUCCAGACUCCUACGGGAGGCAGCAGUAGGGAAUCUUCCGCAAUGGGCGAAAGCCUGACGGAGCAACGCCGCGUGAGUGAUGAAGGUCUUCGGAUCGUAAAACUCUGUUAUUAGGGAAGAACAAACGUGUAAGUAACUGUGCACGUCUUGACGGUACCUAAUCAGAAAGCCACGGCUAACUACGUG
Molecule: ribosomal RNA, 497 nt
Filed under: uncultured bacterium
Lineage: Bacteria
Description: partial 16S ribosomal RNA
Rfam family: Bacterial small subunit ribosomal RNA
Source: RNAcentral